AUGAGGGUUUGAUCCUGGCCCAGGAUGAACGCUGGCGGCGUGGAUAAGGCAUGCAAGUCGAACGAACCCUUCGGGGUUAGUGGCGAACGAGUUAGUAACGCCUUGGUACUUACCGUAUAGUCAAGAAUAACUAGCCGAAAGGUUGGCUAAUACUUGAUAGUCUCGAAAGAGUAAAGGAGCAAUUCGCUAUACGAUAGGCCUAGGUCCUAUCAGCUAGUUGGUGAGGUAAUAGCUCACCAAGGCUACGACGGGUAGGGGGAGUGAGAGCUUGACCCCCAACGACGGCACUGAGACACGGGCCGUACACCUACGGGUGGCAGCAGUCGAGAAUAUUCCACAAUGGGUAAACUGCUUUUCUAGGAGAAAAAGUCUGGCCAAUUGUGCUCGCUAACUUCGGUUAGUGGGUGCAAUUGGCUAGAUUGAUGGUACCUUAGGAAUAAGGGGUUGCUAACUUCGUGCCAGCAGCAGCGGUAAUACGAAGACCCCGAGCGUUAUCCGGAUUUAUUGGGCGUAAAGAGAGAGCAGGAGGUUUGGUGCGUCUGUUGUUAAAUCCCACCGCUCAACGGUGGAACUGCAAUGGAUACGAUCAAACUAGAGGAUACUAGAGGUUACUGGAACACACGGUGUAGGGGUGAAAUCCGUUGAUAUCGUGUGGAACACCAAAGGCGAAGGCAUGUAACUGGAGUAUUCCUGACUCUGAGUCUCGAAAGCGUGGGGAGCAAAAAGGAUUAGAUACCCUUGUAGUCCACGCCGUAAAUGAUGUCUACUAGCUAUCGGAAGUAUCGACCCUUUCGGUGGCGAAGCUAACGCGUUAAGUAGACCGCCUGGGAAGUACGAGCGCAAGCUUAAAACUCAAAGGAAUAGACGGGGACUCGCACAAGCGGUGGAUCAUGUGGUUUAAUUCGAUGGUACACGAGGAACCUUACCAGGGCUUGUACCCUAUUGAAGUCAGAUGGAAACGUUUGAUGCCUGAGAUUUAUCUUUGGCAAUAGGGCAGGUGCUGCACGGUCGUCGUCAGCUCGUGGCGUGAGCUGUUCCCUUAAGUGGGGUAACGAGCGCAACCCUCGUCCUGUGUUACAAGUGUCACAGGAGACUGUCCGCUUUAAGCGGAAGGAAGGUGGGGAUGACGUCAGAUCAGCGUGGCCCUUUGAUGCCCUGGGCUACACACAUGAUACAAUGGUCAAGACAAAGGGUUGCCAAGCCGUAAGGCGGAGCUAAUCUCAAAAACUUGGCCUCAGUUCGGAUUGAGGGCUGAAACUCGCCCUCAUGAAGUUGGAAUCGCUAGUAAUCGUGAAUCAGCCAUGUCACGGUGAAUACGUUCUCGAGUCCUGUACUCACCGCCCGUCACACCAAGGGAGCUGGUAGCGGAUAGAGUCUCACCUAGCGUGGGAUGAGUUCGAGAUCAGUGACAGGGGUGAAGUCGUAACAAGGCACGCGUAGCGGAAGCUGUGCGUAGAUUA
RNAcentral lists this ribosomal RNA (1460 nucleotides) under Candidatus Wolfebacteria bacterium GW2011_GWC1_47_103. RNAcentral describes it as "bacterial SSU rRNA". It matches the Rfam family "Bacterial small subunit ribosomal RNA". The record is from RNAcentral. Lineage: Bacteria; Candidatus Wolfeibacteriota.